CCUACGGGCGGCAGCAGUGAGGAAUAUUGGUCAAUGGGCGUAAGCCUGAACCAGCCAAGUCGCGUGAGGGAUGAAGGUUCUAUGGAUCGUAAACCUCUUUUAUAAGGGAAUAAAGUGUGGGACGUGUCCUGUUUUGUAUGUACCUUAUGAAUAAGGAUCGGCUAACUCCGUGCCAGCCGCCGCGGUAAUACGGAGGAUCCGAGCGUUAUCCGGAUUUAUUGGGUUUAAAGGGUGAGUCGGCGGCCUUUUAAGUCAGCGGUGAAAGUCUGUGGCUCAACCAUAGAAUUGCCGUUGAUACUGGGAGGCUUGAGUAUGGUUGAGGCAGGCGGAAUGCGAGGUGGAGCGGUGAAAUGCUUAGAUAUCACGCAGAACCCCGAUUGCGAAGGCAGCCUGCCAAGCCAUGACUGACGCUGAUGCACGAAAGCGUGGGGAUCAAACAGGAUUAGAUACCCGUGUAGUC
Molecule: ribosomal RNA, 460 nt
Filed under: uncultured bacterium
Lineage: Bacteria
Description: partial 16S ribosomal RNA
Rfam family: Bacterial small subunit ribosomal RNA
Source: RNAcentral